RNAcentral lists this unclassified non-coding RNA (131 nucleotides) under Klebsiella oxytoca. Its description in RNAcentral is "yybP-ykoY". Lineage: Bacteria; Pseudomonadati; Pseudomonadota; Gammaproteobacteria; Enterobacterales; Enterobacteriaceae. The record is from RNAcentral.
GCGCCCGUCGUUGGGGAGUAGCCAAUUUUCUGCCUGGCAGAAAAUGUCCGUGUCAACAUACUCGUUGCAAAACGUGGCACGUGCGGGUUGAAGCAGAACGUAUUCAAUCAGGCGAGACCAUAGACGCAUCA